This is a long non-coding RNA of Triticum aestivum (bread wheat), 552 nucleotides long. RefSeq lists it as uncharacterized. The transcript has 3 exons. Lineage: Eukaryota; Viridiplantae; Streptophyta; Magnoliopsida; Poales; Poaceae. The record is from RefSeq and is a predicted model, not a curated record.
GGAGGCGAUGCUAGCGAGGAAACCGGUGGUCGACGGGAUCCCGCGGAUGCCAAGCUGCGCAAGAGGGAUCUAGCGCUCAAGGGAGCCGAUGAGACGCGUGCGGCGGUCCAGGGGACCUAGCUAAGGCGAGGCGUCUGAGGGAAUCUGGCACUCGAGUGGCUGCCUCCAGGGUACUCUUGUUGGGUAACCUGUUCUUCUCGAUGGUGCUCCAGCAACUGCAUAAUUCAGGCUGGAGGUGAUUGAGGGUACUGUACACGAGGACAUGUGUAUGGGAACAACAAUACACCAGGCCCCCCCUAUAUUUCUUUUCUUUUCAUGUACGAUUCCUUUUUCCACAAAACAAUUUCUUUGCCCUGACAUACUGCCAAUCCAAUUUGUACAUACAGGUAAUGUUGUUGGCGAUGGUCAAUUGAUUUGAGCAUAUUUGGAGACUAGUGGGCGCGGCUGUACUGCCGAGUCACCACCGGAGAGAGGAUCCCAGAGGAGAUGGGCAGAUGCUCCAGAGGAUUUUGUCAGUUGAUUUUGUACCUCAAUCCGAGAGGGGGCGGGGGG